RNAcentral lists this ribosomal RNA (263 nucleotides) under uncultured bacterium. RNAcentral describes it as "partial 16S ribosomal RNA". It matches the Rfam family "Bacterial small subunit ribosomal RNA", at positions 793 to 1055 of the family's 1533-position model. The record is from RNAcentral.
GUCCACGCCGUAAACGAUGGGCACUAGGUGCUUGGGGGAGCGACCCCUGAGUGCCGACGCUAACGCAUUAAGUGCCCGCCUGGGAGUACGACCGCAAGGUUGAAACUCAAAGGAAUUGACGGGGGCCCGGCACAAGCGGUGGAGCAUGUGGUUUAAUUCGACGCAACGCGAAGAACCUUACCCAGGCUUGACAUGGCCGUGAACUCGUGGGGAAACCUGCGGGGCUCUUCGGAGCGCGGUCACAGGUGCUGCAUGGCUGUCGU